UUUUACACUUCUUCUCACCCUCCACUCUCGUCCUCUUGUAAAAUAUUUGAAGUUAAUAAAAUAAGCUUUGUAGUAUCCUGGUCACUCCUUCCUAUUGUGUUCCUUCUAUAAUAUUGCUGGUGUCGUCGAAUGGGAGGAUUCAACUGAUGGGCUGGAGGUGGGCAGCGUUAAUGGAGGGUGCUUCAGGGGGUGGGUGUCAGUUGUAUUAGGUGGAGGAAUCAACGACAACAUGUAUGAUCUGGAAGCGGCCAAUGGUGGGGAUAUAUGAGGAAAGAUCGACUAUUGUUUAGAUUAAGGUUAUGAGGCAGCGAUGCUGGUUGUUGUGGGUGACGACGGAAAGGAGUAAUGGAAGAGUUGUGAGCGAUUGUUUUAAUAUGAGGUUAAUUAGAUGCACUGUAUGGAUUUAAGGGAUUUGACCCAUUGAUUUAGGGAUUAUAAUCAAAUGCAUAUAUAAAAUGACAAAA
Long non-coding RNA from Lactuca sativa (garden lettuce), 464 nucleotides. RefSeq lists it as uncharacterized. NCBI's taxonomy places the organism in Eukaryota, Viridiplantae, Streptophyta, Magnoliopsida, Asterales, Asteraceae. The record is from RefSeq and is a predicted model, not a curated record.